GAUGAACGCUGGCGGCGUGCCUAAUACAUGCAAGUCGAGCGAACAGACGAGGAGCUUGCUCCUCUGACGUUAGCGGCGGACGGGUGAGUAACACGUGGAUAACCUACCUAUAAGACUGGGAUAACUUCGAGAAACCGGAGCUAAUACCGGAUAAUAUAUUGAACCGCAUGGUUCAAUAGUGAAAGACGGUUUUGCUGUCACUUAUAGAUGGAUCCGCGCCGCAUUAGCUAGUUGGUAAGGUAACGGCUUACCAAGGCAACGAUGCGUAGCCGACCUGAGAGGGUGAUCGGCCACACUGGAACUGAGACACGGUCCAGACUCCUACGGGAGGCAGCAGUAGGGAAUCUUCCGCAAUGGGCGAAAGCCUGACGGAGCAACGCCGCGUGAGUGAUGAAGGUCUUCGGAUCGUAAAACUCUGUUACUAGGGAAGAACAAAUGUGUAAGUAACUAUGCACGUCUUGACGGUACCUAAUCAGAAAGCCACGGCUAACUACGUG
Molecule: ribosomal RNA, 497 nt
Filed under: uncultured bacterium
Lineage: Bacteria
Description: partial 16S ribosomal RNA
Rfam family: Bacterial small subunit ribosomal RNA
Source: RNAcentral